RNAcentral lists this small nuclear RNA (338 nucleotides) under Erinaceus europaeus (western European hedgehog). Its description in RNAcentral is "7SK RNA". It matches the Rfam family "7SK RNA". From Rfam's summary of the family: 7SK was discovered as an abundant small nuclear RNA in the mid-70s but a possible function has only recently been suggested. Two independent studies have found that 7SK RNA binds the CDK9/cyclin T complex (known as elongation factor P-TEFb). Lineage: Eukaryota; Metazoa; Chordata; Mammalia; Eulipotyphla; Erinaceidae. The record is from Rfam by way of RNAcentral.
GGAUGUUUGGGUGAGCUGACUCGACAUUGACAAUUCUUUGUUGUUCCAUUGAACUCAAAGGCUGAUCUGACUGGCUACAAGGCUGUCUCCUUCCUCCUUCUCACUGUUCUGUGUGUUAUCCCUCAGCCUCCUGCUAGAUCUAAGAGGACAUUAGCUAAACAUAGGUUGACUGUGGAUUAUAUUUUGGCCAGAGAAUAGGAGCAGCUUCACUUUCCUUCUAGAACCUCCAUAAAAGCUCUCAAAAACCAAAACACACACCUCAAAAUAAUGCAGUAUAGGCAGUGUCUAAAUGAUCAUUUCUUAAAUUUGCAUCUGCUUUUGUCAUAGUAGCACUGAAC